Non-coding RNA from Vicia faba (fava bean), 186 nucleotides. Lineage: Eukaryota; Viridiplantae; Streptophyta; Magnoliopsida; Fabales; Fabaceae. The record is from the annotation of a GenBank genome assembly.
AUGUCACUUUUUUAUAUCAAUAGCAAAACUAAGUCAUUCCACACAAACCAUCACACACAAAAUAGAGCCUUUUUUUUUCUUUUCAAAGUAUCAUCAUCUUCAUUGUAUUUUAAACAAAAUCAACAUAUAAAAUUCAUAACAUGUAUAUUAACAAUUUAUUUUUUGGGAAAAUCACAACAACACUAA